Molecule: ribosomal RNA, 468 nt
Filed under: uncultured bacterium
Lineage: Bacteria
Description: partial 16S ribosomal RNA
Rfam family: Bacterial small subunit ribosomal RNA
Source: RNAcentral
GACGAACGCUGGCGGCGUGCUUAACACAUGCAAGUCGAACGGAAAGGCCCUGCUUUUGUGGGGUGCUCGAGUGGCGAACUGGUGAGUAACACGUGAGUAACCUGCCCUUGACUUUGGGAUAACUUCAGGAAACUGGGGCUAAUACCGGAUAGGAGCUCCUGCUGCAUGGUGGGGGUUGGAAAGUUUCGGCGGUUGGGGAUGGACUCGCGGCUUAUCAGCUUGUUGGUGGGGUAGUGGCUUACCAAGGCUUUGACGGGUAGCCGGCCUGAGAGGGUGACCGGCCACAUUGGGACUGAGAUACGGCCCAGACUCCUACGGGAGGCAGCAGUGGGGAAUAUUGCACAAUGGGCGGAAGCCUGAUGCAGCAACGCCGCGUGCGGGAUGACGGCCUUCGGGUUGUAAACCGCCUUCGCCUGUGACGAAGCGUGAGUGACGGUAAUGGGUAAAGAAGCACCGGCUAACUACGUG